CCCUCCCUUUCUCUUCUUCUCCCAGCUCUCCCACCCCAUCCCCCCUCCCCCUUCGACGAAUCCAGCCACCCGCACCUCCUCUCUGAAGCGCAGCUCCGCCAUCUACUACUCCUUCGAGCUCGUCCAACUCGGAGGCCGGGGAAGAUGGCGUAUCCCGCUCUUCGAAGAAGAGCUUCUUCAAUGGCGGCUGCAGAGAGGAACCAACAAAACAUCAGCUCCGCCGUCUACGACCUUACCUGGCGCCUCCUCCGCCGCAACCUCACCUCUGAGAUCCUCCACCCUUCCCGCAUCAAAUCCUAUGGUGAGGCUGUUAAAUGGGUUUCUGACAUUCUCAUCAACCUUCUCAGAUCCAAGUUUCAAGCUCAGUCCAAUGGCAUCGGAGUUGAGCUUUGAGGACAAAUUAAACGAAGAGCAAAUCAAAGAAAUUGACGACUUUCAGUGCCGCUUGCUAUUGAACUUUUGGCGAUUCAACAUCCUCAAAUUUUGGCCCAGAUAGACAAAAUUUCUGUUGAAAAAUCGUUGGAACCAUAAGGAAGAAGAAGGCCUGCUCAUCCCUCUUAUUCCAGCACGAUAGAAAGCAAAGAGUGAAAGGGUGAGCAGCAUGGAUGACGGCCAAGAUGAUGACUUUGUUUUGGCGUAUGCUGAUACAUUGUGGGAGCUCCACCUUCCUCACAGGAAGGAAAAUAGGGAUAUGGAUGAAGAGAGGG
Molecule: long non-coding RNA, 707 nt
Filed under: Prunus dulcis (almond)
Lineage: Eukaryota; Viridiplantae; Streptophyta; Magnoliopsida; Rosales; Rosaceae
Description: sRNA ncRNA
Source: RNAcentral